This is a long non-coding RNA of Camelus dromedarius (Arabian camel), 502 nucleotides long. RefSeq lists it as uncharacterized. The record is from RefSeq and is a predicted model, not a curated record. Lineage: Eukaryota; Metazoa; Chordata; Mammalia; Artiodactyla; Camelidae. The transcript has 3 exons.
GUCCUCCUGAUUUUUUCCCUCAAGAAAAAUUCAUAGAGGAACUAAAGAUGAUUUGCAAAUGUAAUUGCAAAAAGAGAUAAUUUUAAUAUCAGAAGAUUGCAAAGAAAACAAAAGAAGGAGGAAUUUGACUGGGUGUAAUUCUUCUAAGGAAAGACAACACCAGCCUGCAGGCGUACACACAUCUAGGACAUCCUGUUGAUGGUAACAUUUUAAUUCACGGACUCAUGCAUCUUCUUUGCAAGCAGCUUGAUUUACACAAGAAAUCCAGAAAUGACACAUCCAGUGACAAGGCCAAAUCUGUAAUUCCAGCUGGAAGCCAGUGCUCGUUUCAGUCAAAGAGACCAAAUCGGGGUGUGACUCAAGGAGUCGGACAUCAGAGCAGCGACCAGAAUGAUGUCGAUUUUGAUCAGGUGUGCUCAGGAGCAUUGCUAAGAGGCAAUGAUUCUGGGAAAUCUUCCAAAAGUGCCAAAUGGAGGAAAAAGCUCUCAUGUGUUGGCACAAA